This 1385-nucleotide ribosomal RNA is filed under the name Paramoeba branchiphila. Its description in RNAcentral is "SSU rRNA". It matches the Rfam family "Eukaryotic small subunit ribosomal RNA", at positions 328 to 1467 of the family's 1831-position model. Lineage: Eukaryota; Discosea; Flabellinia; Dactylopodida; Paramoebidae. The record is from RNAcentral.
GUAGUAUAGAGGACUACCAUGGUGGUAACGGGUAACGGAGAAUCAGGGUUUGAUUCCGGAGAAGGAGCCUGAGAAACGGCUACUACUUCCAAGGAAGGCAGCAGGCGCGCAAAUUACCCAAUCCCGACACGGGGAGGUAGUGACAAAAAAUAACAAUAUCGAUGUUUUUACAACUUUGAUAAUUGGAAUGAGUACAAUCUAAAACCUUUAACGAGUAUCAAUUGGAGGGCAAGUCUGGUGCCAGCAGCCGCGGUAAUUCCAGCUCCAAUAGCAUAUAUUAAAGUUGUUGCAGUUAAAAAGCUCGUAGUUGGAUUUUGAAAUGUUAUAAAACGGCCCGCUUUUGUAAGUGUGUUUUUGUUGUUUUAUAUCUUUCUCCUUACUAGACUUUCACUAUUGUUCUUCAUUGAUCGAUAGUUUCAUCUCAUUUUUUGAGGUGAGUGAUGGUUAGACCUCUUGAGUUUAGGAUUGUGGAUGAUUACUUUUGGUGAUUGUUCUGCUUAGAUUCAAGAACUGAUCAUUAGAAAUCUAGUUCUUUUACUUUGAGUAAAUUAGAGUGUUCAAGGCAAGCAAAUUAUUAUUGUUGCAAUGAAUACUAUUAGCAUGGGAUAAUGGAACAGGACACGUAUUCUAGUUUUCUGUUGGUUUCUAGAAUUUUUUGGCUCUUUCGAGGGUCAGUAGUGUAAUGAUUAAAAGGGACAGUUGGGGGCAUUCGUAUUUCAUUGUCAGAGGUGAAAUUCUUGGAUUUAUGAAAGACGAACUUCUGCGAAAGCAUUUGUCAAAGAUGUUUUCAUUAAUCAAGAACGAAAGUUAGGGGAUCGAAGACGAUCAGAUACCGUCGUAGUCUUAACCAUAAACUAUGCCGACCAGGGAUUGGAAGAUGUAUUAUCCUGUGUAACAGCAGGAAAACUCCUUCAGUACCUUACGAGAAAUCAUAAGUCUUUGGGUUCUGGGGGGAGUAUGGUCGCAAGGCUGAAACUUAAAGGAAUUGACGGAAGGGCACCACCAGGAGUGGAGCCUGCGGCUUAAUUUGACUCAACACGGGAAAACUUACCAGGUCCAGACACAGUUAGGAUUGACAGAUUGAGAGCUCUUUCUUGAUUCUGUGGGUGGUGGUGCAUGGCCGUUCUUAGUUGGUGGAGUGAUUUGUCUGGUUAAUUCCGAUAACGAACGAGACCUCAGCCUACUAAUUAGUUAUGCAAAUGAUUACAUUCUUUAUGAAGGGGGUUUCUAUUAUAGCUUUGGGUUUGACUUGGAGAUGUAAUAGAAAAACUCGUUUUCAUUUGUUAGAGAUUUGAUGUCUUCUGACUGACGAUUUCGAUAAUGACUUCUUAGAGGGACACUUGGUGUUUAACCAAGGGAAGUUUGAGGCAAUAACAGGUCUGUGA